UUAUGGUGCCAUAUUUUACUUUCUAGGAAGAAAAUUUUUUAAAUUAUUUAUUUUCAAAUCAGUUAGAAUUGGAGCUGAAUAAUAACUAGAGAAUAAAGCUUUUGUUUUAUAUUGAUCUUUUGAUUUCUUCAUCUCUACCCCAUUCCUUAGCAUAAUGGAAACCUUAAAGUUACCCAGAAAUAAAUGUAGCUGUGUUUCUCUCUUACCUUCCUAGUAAGAAAAACAAGUAUAAACAUUUCAGUUUCUCCUAAAAUGAACUCAGUCAUCCAUAAAUUUUGUGAUAACAUUUCAAAAUAUUACUAAAAUCUCCAAGUUUGGCAAAGGGCUUAUAUAUAUUAAGUUGAGGCCGGGCACAGUGGCUCACGCCUGUAAUCCCAGCACUUUGGGAAGCUGAGGCAGUUGAAUAGCUUGAGGCCAGGAGUUUGAGACCAGCACGUUUUUUGCUCCUGUUUUAAAGUAAAUUGUACUAAUGACAACAAUAGUGAUCUUUUAUAGGCCCAAGUUGGAUCAGUGAUCAAUUCAUAGCAUUUCUGUUUCAAAUAUUCAAAAGCAAAAAAUAAUCUGCCAAUUAGAAAACAAAAAACUUCAAACUUAAGUGAUGUAAUGAUGGAGCACCUGUAUUUGACUAGAUGUUAUAUACAUGCCAUUGAAAGACAUAGUACCUAAUCUGCCUAAUGUCUAUAAACUGGUGCAAAUAAAAGACAUUUAAACCAUGUAUUCUCUCUUAUUAAAGCCUCCUUUUAAUUGUGUUUUUCCAUCUUGAGUUUCCAACAAGAGCAUCCUUUUAAAGGGAGCUUUUUUUUUUUUUUUUUACAAGUAGCUGAAUUUAAUGACAGCUGUCUUCCUGAUAUUGUUUUGUAUAGUAAGGAGUCUCUUGGGAGUUAUCCAGAAACCAAGUCAGGAAAAGACAAUAUUGAGGAACAAAAUAAAAGGUAAGCCUAGCAAAGGCACUGAUGCUUAAUGGUUCCAAUUGGGGCCUUAUUAUUGGUUAAUGAAUCAUUGUCAAAACAUCACAGCAAGCAAGAACGUGCACAGUCUAGUCUAUAGUGAGAAAAUGACUCCAUCCCAACAGUUAUUAACUGGGAGUUGUUUGAAAACACGUCCGGUAAUUAUAACAACACUGGAGCUAAUUGAGAACUUUGAGUUGAUAGCAAAUGGCCCACAAUAGCAGACUAGAUAACUCGGGGGAUUCUUCUUUAAUUACUUAUUGAAAAAUAGCAGAAAAUGAAUUGGAUGUGGGUUAUAGUCUGCAGAUAUCAAGACAAGUUUCGGUAAUUCUAUCCCAAGAUGUGCUUCAAAAUGUAUCUGUUACCAUUAUAUUAGAAGUAGCAUCUGAAAAUGUGAAGUUCCUAAGUAAAAAUCAGGGUUGCUUUCCUAAAUAUGCCUUUUUUAAGAUUACUUUUCCUAUUAGAGUAAGAAUCAGGCUUUAAUAAUAUACAUUUCAUUCUAACAGUCAAGUAUUCAUAGGACGACUAUAGGAAUUCUCCUCCCUAACGCUAACUGUGUUUCCACAAUUGCUAUUCCCAAUGGGUAAAAACAGGGAGACACAAAGAUACAGAAAUACUCCAUUUGCCUCUUUAGUUGUUUUCCCAGUCAGGAAAGGAUUUAAAACUGUAGCAUGAAGUGAAAUUUUUGAAUGACUGUGGAUUUUGUUUAUCCGUUGUGCUUGUUCUCCCUACAUCAGUGAUGAUAAAAUAUUGUCAAAAUAAUAUUUUUCCAUACUAUAAAGGCAAAAUAAAAGCAAGGACAUAUGUUCUAAUAAAAAGUUACAUUUAGACGUUUAUUCCACUUUUUGAAAUAUAUUGAAGGAGGGUCCCAGAAGCUGAAAAUCUGAUGCUCAGCACUGUCCCCCCACCCUACUGCCUCCAGACUAAGUGCAAUGUUUGUUUCUACACACCCUCUAGCUUCAUUAAGCAAAACCACACAUCUAUCUCACAAAGAGACAGAGGAAACGUAAAAUAUCCCAAUUUCCUAAGCAAACACCUGGCCAAUGGAAAGCAAAAGGCUUCGGAUGGAAGACUUCAUUCAUUCAUUCGUUCAUCAGACUCUCUAAAUUACUUCCUAGUGUGAAACACUCCCACUUUUCAUGUUUGGUUAUUUACUUUUGGCUCAGUAAAAUAAUUGGAAAGUUGACACUUUUCCAAAAUGUUAGAC
This 2154-nucleotide long non-coding RNA is filed under the name Homo sapiens (human). RNAcentral describes it as "non-protein coding lnc-JHY-1:1". Lineage: Eukaryota; Metazoa; Chordata; Mammalia; Primates; Hominidae. The record is from RNAcentral.